RNAcentral lists this ribosomal RNA (253 nucleotides) under uncultured bacterium. RNAcentral describes it as "partial 16S ribosomal RNA". It matches the Rfam family "Bacterial small subunit ribosomal RNA", at positions 524 to 776 of the family's 1533-position model. The record is from RNAcentral.
UACGUAGGGUGCAAGCGUUGUCCGGAAUUAUUGGGCGUAAAGAGCUCGUAGGCGGUCUGUCACGUCGGCUGUGAAAACCCGAGGCUCAACCUCGGGCCUGCAGUCGAUACGGGCAAACUAGAGUACUGCAGGGGAGACUGGAAUUCCUGGUGUAGCGGUGAAAUGCGCAGAUAUCAGGAGGAACACCUGCGGCGAAGGCGGGUUGCUGGGCUGACACUGACGCUGAUGCGCGAAAGCCAGGGGAGCGAACGGG